GGACAGAUUUUUCAUGUUAUGAAGCACUACAAAAUCCAAAACUCAUCUUUUAAAAGAGCAUGAUAGUGAGCACUGUCAUCAUUUAGAUGGAGUUUACAUUCCUUUCUCAGCAAAAUGAAACAGGAGGAGCUGCUGUGGGAGAGAAUUGGCCUACCCAUCAUCCAGCAGAAAUGAGAAAAGUAAAACAUCAGCAAUGAGUGAAGAAAGAAGACAUCUCACUUCAGUUUUGACUUUCUUCAUCGAAUAGCUCUCAAACCCGAGCACCUUGAAAUCCAUACCCACAAAAAACCAGAGCCACUACUGCUG
RNAcentral lists this long non-coding RNA (306 nucleotides) under Struthio camelus australis. RNAcentral describes it as "lncRNA (ENSSCUG00000011875.1)". The record is from RNAcentral. Lineage: Eukaryota; Metazoa; Chordata; Aves; Struthioniformes; Struthionidae.